This is a long non-coding RNA of Arabidopsis thaliana (thale cress), 1084 nucleotides long. RefSeq annotates it as other RNA. The transcript has 2 exons. Lineage: Eukaryota; Viridiplantae; Streptophyta; Magnoliopsida; Brassicales; Brassicaceae. The record is from RefSeq.
ACACGAAUUCUGAAAACGAUGUAACAAGCUUUUGAUUGGAUUAACAGACGAUAAAGGAAUCUAUUAACAAUGAGUGGGCAUAUCUGAAGCCGACCAAAGGGGUCUUUAAUUGGUGAAAGAAGGAGAAUGAUGGAUGAGUAACUGAGCAUUGGGUACACAUUUGCAUCUAAGAAGUGCCUAUACUGCUUCAUCGCCGUUUCUCUCUCUGGGAGAUCCGGUGUUAUGCAGUCGUAAGGGCUCGGUUUGCUCGUGUCUACAAAUGGCUCCCAUCGGUAUCCUGGCCUAUUCGGUAGCGAAACAAGUGUGGCUAAAUGACUGGUGUUGAAGGCCACAUAGAUUUCUUUCUUCACAGAAUCGACCUACCGAAAAACAAAAGGGAUUAAUAUCACCCACUAAGGAAACUGUCCAUGUAAGAGAAGGGGUAUGAGAAAAUGGUACCAGUGAAAAUGCAACAAAUCGACUUGUUUCAGACCAAUUUGGGAUCUCAGGAGCAAGACCAUGCCACUGCAGACGCUUUGCUGUUGGGAAAUCAUUCAAGCCAAGUGAUUCACAUUCACUACAAUACAGUCAUAAUGGCCAUCGAUCAGAGGAAACCCGAGAAACAGGGGAUUGCAAAAGAAAGAAAACACAUAGCAGUAGGUGAAAAGGAAGAAGCAUGUCAAUUAUUGGAUUUGAGACUAAGUGAAGCGAUCAACUAAGCAAUUAAGAUCGAUAGACUCAUGAAAGAAGAUUACAUACUCACGAAACUUGAUAAGAAUACGGCAGAAUCUGAAGAAGUCAGAAUGUGCUUCUUCCUUUUUAUCCCACCGAAAAUAGUUCAUCUGCAUCAGAGUUGUGUUAAUGUCGGAAAGCUAAGAUCGAAAAAAUUACUUAUAAUCACCCUGGAAGCAAAGCAUAAGGGGUUUACAUAGUUGUCAUGGCAAUACGUGUUGUUGUUUCCCCCUUUAGUAUGGCCAUAUUCAUCUCCCAUGUAAAUCAUUGGGACACCCUGGUGAUUAAUAGUUCAGAAAGACAGAAAAGGAAAAGGUUAAGCAAUACACUAAUUUCAAUGAAAACCGGAGCAUCACAAUCUGACAAAGCAGUA